This 265-nucleotide ribosomal RNA is filed under the name uncultured archaeon. RNAcentral's name for it is "partial 16S ribosomal RNA". It matches the Rfam family "Archaeal small subunit ribosomal RNA", at positions 719 to 982 of the family's 1478-position model. The record is from RNAcentral.
ACAGUCACACAUUAGAUACCCGGGUAGUCCUAAGCCGUAAACGAUACUCGCUAGGUGUCGGCCACGGUGCGACCGUUGUCGGUGCCGUAGGGAAGCCGUGAAGCGAGCCGCCUGGGAAGUACGGCCGCAAGGCUGAGACUUAAAGGAAUUGGCGGGGAGCACCACAACGGGUGGAGCUUGCGGUUUAAUUGGAUUCAACGCCGGAAAUCUUACCGGGACCGACAGCAACAUGAAGGCCAGGCUGAAGACUUUGCCGGAUUAGCUG